AGUGAACGCUGGCGGUAGGCCUAACACAUGCAAGUCGAACGGCAGCACAGUAAGAGCUUGCUCUUACGGGUGGCGAGUGGCGGACGGGUGAGGAAUACAUCGGAAUCUACUUUUUCGUGGGGGAUAACGUAGGGAAACUUACGCUAAUACCGCAUACGACCUACGGGUGAAAGCAGGGGAUCUUCGGACCUUGCGCGAUUGAAUGAGCCGAUGUCGGAUUAGCUAGUUGGCGGGGUAAAGGCCCACCAAGGCGACGAUCCGUAGCUGGUCUGAGAGGAUGAUCAGCCACACUGGAACUGGGACACGGUCCAGACUCCUACGGGAGGCAGCAGUGGGGAAUAUUGGACAAUGGGCGCAAGCCUGAUCCAGCCAUACCGCGUGGGUGAAGAAGGCCUUCGGGUGGUAAAGCCCUUUUGUUGGGAAAGAAAAGCAGCAGGUUAAUACCCCGCUGUUCUGACGGUACCCAAAGAAUAAGCACCGGCUAACUUCGUG
Molecule: ribosomal RNA, 492 nt
Filed under: uncultured bacterium
Lineage: Bacteria
Description: partial 16S ribosomal RNA
Rfam family: Bacterial small subunit ribosomal RNA
Source: RNAcentral